AGAACGAACGCUGGCGGCAUGCCUAACACAUGCAAGUCGAACGUGAUCCAUGACUUCGGUUGUGGUGAAAGUGGCAAACGGGUGAGUAACGCGUGGGAAUCUGCCCAGAGGUAGGGAAUAACCGCGGGAAACUGCGGCUAAUACCCUAUGUGCCCUACGGGGCAAAGAUUUAUCGCCUUUGGAGGAGCCCGCGUCGGAUUAGGUAGUUGGUAGGGCAACGGCCUACCAAGCCUACGAUCCGUAGCUGGUCUGAGAGGAUGAUCAGCCACACUGGGACUGAGAUACGGCCCAGACUCCUACGGGAGGCAGCAGUGGGGAAUAUUGGACAAUGGGGGCAACCCUGAUCCAGCAAUGCCGCGUGAGUGAUGAAGGCCUUCGGGUUGUAAAGCUCUUUCGGCGGGAAGAUGAUGACGGUACCCGCAGAAGAAGCCCCGGCUAACUUCGUGCCAGCAGCCGC
This 457-nucleotide ribosomal RNA is filed under the name uncultured bacterium. Its description in RNAcentral is "SSU rRNA". It matches the Rfam family "Bacterial small subunit ribosomal RNA", at positions 26 to 518 of the family's 1533-position model. The record is from RNAcentral.